This is a long non-coding RNA of Fundulus heteroclitus (mummichog), 336 nucleotides long. RefSeq lists it as uncharacterized. NCBI's taxonomy places the organism in Eukaryota, Metazoa, Chordata, Actinopteri, Cyprinodontiformes, Fundulidae. The record is from RefSeq and is a predicted model, not a curated record. The transcript has 3 exons.
GUUCUCUAAAGGUUCUGGUUCUGUCGUGUCUCUUUGCAGCCUGUGAAGGUUCUGGUUCUCUAAAGGUUCUGGUUCUCUGAAGGUUCUGGUUCUCUAAAGGUUCUGGUUCUGUUGUGUCUCUUUGCAGCCUGUGAAGGUUCUGGUUCUCUGAAGGUUCUGGUUCUGUCGUAUCUCUGCAGCCUGUGAAGGUUCUGGUUCUCUGAAGGUUCUGGUUCUCUAAAGGUUCCGGUUCUGUCGUCUCUCUGCAGCCUGUGAAUGUUCUAGUUCUCUAAAGGUUCUGGUUCUCUGAAGGUUCUGGUUCUGCAGCCUGUGAAGGUUCUGGUUCUCUGAAGGUUC